UCACUGCCCCUCAGGGGGCAGGGGGCUGGUGAUUCCUGAGGGAGCCCUGCCCCCUUCCAGGGUGAAUUGUCCUAAGUCACCAUGGAGAACCAGCAGCCCAGAAUCAGUGCCCUGCCAGGCAGAAUUGCUUGGCCAUAACAAAGAUCCAUUGCCUUUCUGAUGACACCCAGCACCUCGGAUUCUGUAUACACGGGAGGUGAUUUAAGCAUCUUACUGCCACCCUGAAAUCUGGGGUCCUUUAUCCUGGCAGCAUCUAGACCCGUAACGCCCACUUCAGAAUGGGAGGGAGGAUGUCUGCUGCCCUGUCGUCUCCACACCCGAGGAAUGUCCGUGUGUGUGAUGUGCAGAGCAGGCUGCACACAGCGGGCUCCACGGUGCUCGAAUGGAGGCCCUAAUGUGAAUGGAGACUAGCCUGCUGGUAGAGACCUUGGCAGUGACCGCCGUGAGCAAUGAGCCAUGGGCCAACAAUAUUCAAUGCUGUGUACCUGAUGGAUGGUUACUGUCUGAGACUGAGGUUUUUUGGGCCAGGAGUAAAAGGACUUGGUUUGUACUUGAUUGCAUCCUGUGGAUGCUUGCCUACCAACUGACUCAUCCCGACGUGCCAAAGGUCCUGGCUUUCCCCUGUGUGGGUAAGGGGAGAAGAGAGUUCUAAUGAGCGUGGCUGGCAUCGCUUCAUGAUUACAUUCUGGGAAAGAUCUUGCCUGUUAACCGCUAGAGAAGGAGGGACGAUGCAGACAAUGGACUCACAAUUGCUGAUGUAUAGGUUCUAAUGUUUUCUAUUGUGGACACGGGACACCCAGACUGAGGUUCGUGGAUUUUUGAAAUUUCUAAUAAUAAGAUAUUUGUGACUUAAUUUUGAGUGGAUGAA
RNAcentral lists this long non-coding RNA (868 nucleotides) under Mus spretus (western wild mouse). Its description in RNAcentral is "lncRNA (ENSMSPG00010018610.1)". The record is from RNAcentral. Lineage: Eukaryota; Metazoa; Chordata; Mammalia; Rodentia; Muridae.